AGAGUUUGAUCAUGGCUCAGAUUGAACGCUGGCGGCAGGCCUAACACAUGCAAGUCGAACGGUAACAGGAAGAAGCUUGCUUCUUUGCUGACGAGUGGCGGACGGGUGAGUAAUGUCUGGGAAACUGCCUGAUGGAGGGGGAUAACUACUGGAAACGGUAGCUAAUACCGCAUAACGUCGCAAGACCAAAGAGGGGGACCUUCGGGCCUCUUGCCAUCGGAUGUGCCCAGAUGGGAUUAGCUAGUAGGUGGGGUAACGGCUCACCUAGGCGACGAUCCCUAGCUGGUCUGAGAGGAUGACCAGCCACACUGGAACUGAGACACGGUCCAGACUCCUACGGGAGGCAGCAGUGGGGAAUAUUGCACAAUGGGCGCAAGCCUGAUGCAGCCAUGCCGCGUGUAUGAAGAAGGCCUUCGGGUUGUAAAGUACUUUCAGCGGGGAGGAAGGGAGUAAAGUUAAUACCUUUGCUCAUUGACGUUACCCGCAGAAGAAGCACCGGCUAACUCCGUGCCAGCAGCCGCGGUAAUACGGAGGGUGCAAGCGUUAAUCGGAAUUACUGGGCGUAAAGCGCACGCAGGCGGUUUGUUAAGUCAGAUGUGAAAUCCCCGGGCUCAACCUGGGAACUGCAUCUGAUACUGGCAAGCUUGAGUCUCGUAGAGGGGGGUAGAAUUCCAGGUGUAGCGGUGAAAUGCGUAGAGAUCUGGAGGAAUACCGGUGGCGAAGGCGGCCCCCUGGACGAAGACUGACGCUCAGGUGCGAAAGCGUGGGGAGCAAACAGGAUUAGAUACCCUGGUAGUCCACGCCGUAAACGAUGUCGACUUGGAGGUUGUGCCCUUGAGGCGUGGCUUCCGGAGCUAACGCGUUAAGUCGACCGCCUGGGGAGUACGGCCGCAAGGUUAAAACUCAAAUGAAUUGACGGGGGCCCGCACAAGCGGUGGAGCAUGUGGUUUAAUUCGAUGCAACGCGAAGAACCUUACCUGGUCUUGACAUCCACAGAACUUUCCAGAGAUGGAUUGGUGCCUUCGGGAACUGUGAGACAGGUGCUGCAUGGCUGUCGUCAGCUCGUGUUGUGAAAUGUUGGGUUAAGUCCCGCAACGAGCGCAACCCUUAUCUUUUGUUGCCAGCGGUCCGGCCGGGAACUCAAAGGAGACUGCCAGUGAUAAACUGGAGGAAGGUGGGGAUGACGUCAAGUCAUCAUGGCCCCUUACGACCAGGGCUACACACGUGCUACAAUGGCGCAUACAAAGAGAAGCGACCUCGCGAGAGCAAGCGGACCUCAUAAAGUGCGUCGUAGUCCGGAUUGGAGUCUGCAACUCGACUCCAUGAAGUCGGAAUCGCUAGUAAUCGUGGAUCAGAAUGCCACGGUGAAUACGUUCCCGGGCCUUGUACACACCGCCCGUCACACCAUGGGAGUGGGUUGCAAAAGAAGUAGGUAGCUUAACCUUCGGGAGGGCGCUUACCACUUUGUGAUUCAUGACUGGGGUGAAGUCGUAACAAGGUAACCGUAGGGGAACCUGCGGUUG
This 1523-nucleotide ribosomal RNA is filed under the name metagenome. RNAcentral's name for it is "bacterial SSU rRNA". It matches the Rfam family "Bacterial small subunit ribosomal RNA". The record is from RNAcentral.